Molecule: long non-coding RNA, 255 nt
Filed under: Lathyrus oleraceus (garden pea)
Lineage: Eukaryota; Viridiplantae; Streptophyta; Magnoliopsida; Fabales; Fabaceae
Description: Pisum sativum (pea) long non-coding RNA (PSAT_LNC002038)
Source: RNAcentral
AAACACAUCACGCACACACACACACACACAUAAAUCACACAUCAAACACAAACACACACAAUACAGACACAUCAUACACACAUCAUACACACACACAUCACACACAGACACACACACAUCACACAGACACACACAAAAACACACACACCCAAACACAUCACACACACAUCAGACGCACAGACACACACACACACACCACACAUAUCACACACACACACAUACAUCACACACACACACACAUCACACAUAUCACAC